UGCUUUGGAAUCUUCCCAGUAGUGGGGAAUAACCAGUCGAAAGAUUGGCUAAUACCGCAUACGUCUGUAAAGGGAAAGCGGGGGCUCGUAAGACCUCGCGCUAUUGGAUGAGCCAAAGUCGGAUUAGCUAGUUGGUGGGGUAAUGGCCUACCAAGGCGACAAUCCGUAGCUGGUCUGAGAGGACGACCAGCCACACCGGAACUGAGACAGGGUCCGGACUCCUACGGGAGGCAGCAGUGGGGAAUAUUGGACAAUGGGGGAAACCCUGAUCCAGCGACGCCGCGUGUGUGAAGAAGGCCUGCGGGUUGUAAAGCACUUUUAGUUGGGGACAAAAAGCUACGGACUAAUAUUCUGUGGUCUUGAUUUAACCCAAAGAAAAAGCACCGGUAACUCUGUGCCAGCAGCCGCGGUAAUACAGAGGUCCCGAGCGUUGUCGGAUUCAUUGGGCGUAAAGGGUGCGUAGGUGGCGCCGUAAGUGGGGUGUGAAAUUUCGGAGCUUACUCCGAAAAUUGCAUUCCAUACUGCGGUGCUUGAGGACUGGAGAGGAGACUUGGAAUUUACGGGUGUAGCAGUGACAUU
RNAcentral lists this ribosomal RNA (579 nucleotides) under uncultured bacterium. RNAcentral's name for it is "bacterial SSU rRNA". It matches the Rfam family "Bacterial small subunit ribosomal RNA", at positions 114 to 688 of the family's 1533-position model. The record is from RNAcentral.